CAGCAGUAGGGAUCUUCCGCAAUGGACGAAAGUCUGACGGAGCAACGCCGCGUGAGUGAUGAAGGUUUUCGGAUCGUAAAACUCUGUUGUUAGGGAAGAACAAGUACCGUUCGAAUAGGGCGGUACCUUGACGGUACCUAACCAGAAAGCCACGGCUAACUACGUGCCAGCAGCCGCGGUAAUACGUAGGUGGCAAGCGUUGUCCGGAAUUAUUGGGCGUAAAGCGCGCGCAGGCGGUUUCUUAAGUCUGAUGUGAAAGCCCCCGGCUCAACCGGGGAGGGUCAUUGGAAACUGGGGAACUUGAGUGCAGAAGAGGAGAGUGGAAUUCCACGUGUAGCGGUGAAAUGCGUAGAGAUGUGGAGGAACACCAGUGGCGAAGGCGACUCUCUGGUCUGUAACUGACGCUGAGGCGCGAAAGCGUGGGGAGCGAACAGGAUUAGAUACCCUGGUAGUCCACGCCGUAAACGAUGAGUGCUAAGUGUUAGAGGGUUUCCGCCCUUUAGUGCUGCAGCAAACGCAUUAAGCACUCCGCCUGGGGAGUACGGUCGCAAGACUGAAACUCAAAGGAAUUGACGGGGCCCCCC
Molecule: ribosomal RNA, 584 nt
Filed under: Bacillus sp. (in: firmicutes)
Lineage: Bacteria; Bacillati; Bacillota; Bacilli; Caryophanales; Bacillaceae
Description: bacterial SSU rRNA
Rfam family: Bacterial small subunit ribosomal RNA
Source: RNAcentral